This 252-nucleotide ribosomal RNA is filed under the name uncultured bacterium. RNAcentral's name for it is "partial 16S ribosomal RNA". It matches the Rfam family "Bacterial small subunit ribosomal RNA", at positions 524 to 776 of the family's 1533-position model. The record is from RNAcentral.
UACGUAGGGUGCAAGCGUUGUCCGGAAUUAUUGGGCGUAAAGAGCUCGUAGGCGACUUGUCACGUCACUGUGAAAACCCGGGGCUCAACUCCGGGCCUGCAGUCGAUACGGGCUGGCUUGAGUGUGGUAGGGGAGAUCGGAAUUCCUGGUGUAGCGGUGGAAUGCGCAGAUAUCAGGAAGAACACCUAUGGCGAAAGCAGCUCUCUGGGACGGUACUGACGCUGAGACGCGAAAGCGUGGGGAGCGAACAGG